This 468-nucleotide ribosomal RNA is filed under the name uncultured bacterium. RNAcentral's name for it is "partial 16S ribosomal RNA". It matches the Rfam family "Bacterial small subunit ribosomal RNA", at positions 29 to 507 of the family's 1533-position model. The record is from RNAcentral.
AACGAACGCUGGCGGCGUGCUUAACACAUGCAAGUCGAACGGAAAGGGCCUGCUUGUUUGUGGUUCUCGAGGUGCGAACGGGUGAGUAACACGUGAGUAACCUGCCCUUGACUGUGUGAUAACUUCAGGAAACUGGUACUAAUACCGGAUAGGAGCUCCUGCUGCAUGGUGGGGGUUGGAAAGUUUCGGCGGUUGGGGAUGGACGCGCGGCUUAUGAGCUUGUUGGUUGGGUAGUUGCUUACCAAGGUUUUGACGGGUAGCCGGCCUGAGAGGGUGAACGGCGACAUUGGUCCUGCGAUACGGAGCAGACUCCUACGGGAGGCAGCAGUCGGGAAUAUUACACAAUGAGGGGGAGUGUGAUGCAGAAACCCUGCGUGCGGGAUGACCGCCAUCGGGUUGUAAACCGCAUUCACUUGUGACGAAGCGUGAGUGACGGUAACGGCUAAAGAAGCACCGGCUAACUACGUG